Molecule: ribosomal RNA, 253 nt
Filed under: uncultured bacterium
Lineage: Bacteria
Description: partial 16S ribosomal RNA
Rfam family: Bacterial small subunit ribosomal RNA
Source: RNAcentral
UACGUAGGAGGCGAGCGUUGUCCGGAAUUACUGGGUGUAAAGCGCGCGUAGGUGGGAGGCCAAGUCUGUGGUGAAAGCGCCCGGCUCAACUGGGCAGAGUCCAUGGAAACUGGUCACCUGGAGGACGGUAGAGGCGAGUGGAAUUCCCGGUGUAGUGGUGAAAUGCGUAGAGAUCGGGAGGAACACCAGUGGCGAAGGCGGCUUCCUGGCCUGUUCUUGACGCUGAGGCGCGAAAGCUAGGGUAGCAAACGGG